RNAcentral lists this unclassified non-coding RNA (269 nucleotides) under uncultured Byssochlamys. Its description in RNAcentral is "sequence contains ITS2". Lineage: Eukaryota; Fungi; Ascomycota; Eurotiomycetes; Eurotiales; Thermoascaceae. The record is from RNAcentral.
AACGCACAUUGCGCCCCCUGGCAUUCCGGGGGGCAUGCCUGUCCGAGCGUCAUUGCUAACCCUCCAGCCCGGCUGGUGUGUUGGGCCGCCGUCCCCUCCGGGGGACGGGCCCGAAAGGCAGCGGCGGCGCCGCGUCCGGUCCUCGAGCGUAUGGGGCUUUGUCACACGCUCUGGUAGGCCCGGCCGGCUUGCUGGCCAACGACCUCACGGUCACCUAACUUCUCUCUUAGGUUGACCUCGGAUCAGGUAGGGAUACCCGCUGAACUUAA